RNAcentral lists this ribosomal RNA (253 nucleotides) under uncultured bacterium. RNAcentral's name for it is "partial 16S ribosomal RNA". It matches the Rfam family "Bacterial small subunit ribosomal RNA", at positions 524 to 776 of the family's 1533-position model. The record is from RNAcentral.
UACGUAGGGUGCAAGCGUUGUUCGGAAUUACUGGGCGUAAAGGGCGCGUAGGCGGCCUUCUAAGUCAGACGUGAAAUCCCCCGGCUUAACCGGGGAACUGCAUCUGAUACUGGAUGGCUUGAGUUCGGGAGAGGGAUGCGGAAUUCCAGGUGUAGCGGUGAAAUGCGUAGAUAUCUGGAGGAACACCGGUGGCGAAGGCGGCAUCCUGGACCGACACUGACGCUGAGGAGCGAAAGCCAGGGGAGCAAACGGG